GGGGCCCGGCCCCGGCGCGGCCGGCUCGGCGUCCUAGGCCCGGGGUGAUACUAGUUUUAAAGGAAGGAGGACUUGCACUGUUCUAUAGCUUGGAGGCUGUGUGGGGUCUAAAGUAACAAGUAUCCGUUUGAAGCGGUUUCAAAGAAAUAAGCGUCCCCUUCCUCUGGCUGGAAUGGAAGCACCCACAGGCUGGGAAUCCCGAGACUGUUCCAGGGCUGUGGCCCUGGGGACACGUGCGUGUCCGAGUGGGAGACGGCGUCCGUGUGUGCGUGUGUGUGCGAGUGUAGACAGCAAAGGGCCCCUGCCUCGGACCCCUGGGGCGGGGUGUGUGGCGGUAAAAGAAAUUAAGCACGAUAAAGCACCGACUGUGUGCGAGGGCAACGAUGAUUAAAACAACGUCCCUUUUCUGAAGGAUGUUACACUCGGGCAAAGGGGGCAGAAGGUGGCAAGAGAAAUCAGACCAUAAAGUUCUGCAAGCUAGAUUAAGAUCAGUGCCGCAAGAUGCCACAAGAGUCAGAGGUUACAACAGGCCCAGGGGUUCUAGAAGGUUCGUUAGAAGAAUUGGCGUUUGAGUUGGUCCCGGACCAUGACGUGGAGGGCUAGAAUUUACACAUGUGGAAUUUGGGAGGGAGUAGUGGUGAUUUAUAAAUGAAAAAAGCAAAUGAGCAGAAAAGCCCUGGGUGUAUUUGGGGAAACAACUCCUCUUAGUUAUGUAAGAUGGAGGCUAAGAAGACAGAUGCUUGGAUAGGUUAUAUUGUGGCAGGCAAAGAUUGUACUAGACUCAGUUCGAUGAAAAGACAAGAAAAGGACACUAGCCGAGAUAGAUACUCCACACCUGCACCAGGUUAAUGGUACUGGACAAUGGAUGGAAGAGACAUUUCAGGCUGGAGUGCAGUCACAGGAUCAUAGCUCACUGCAGCUUC
Molecule: long non-coding RNA, 923 nt
Organism: Lemur catta (Ring-tailed lemur)
Lineage: Eukaryota; Metazoa; Chordata; Mammalia; Primates; Lemuridae
Exons: 3
Source: RefSeq, a predicted model, not a curated record